Salvia miltiorrhiza (redroot sage) is the source of this 613-nucleotide long non-coding RNA. RefSeq lists it as uncharacterized. NCBI's taxonomy places the organism in Eukaryota, Viridiplantae, Streptophyta, Magnoliopsida, Lamiales, Lamiaceae. The transcript has 3 exons. The record is from RefSeq and is a predicted model, not a curated record.
CAACAGCCAAGCUCUCCCUCACUUAUUUCACCAAAAUAUUUUCGCAAGGCCCCUUCACCAAAUUUCUCAACCUGCAGCAAGCUUCUUUCUACAGCAAUAAUAAUCUAAGUUCUUUUCCUUCUUGAUUGAGCAGUAACAACUCCCUAGCAAAGCAAAGAGCUUCAAAGGCUUUGUGACCAGGGGGAUUAGCGCUGCUUUUCCAAGACAGGUUUAUAUGUGAUUAUGAUCUUCAGGCUUUGCCUAUCCAGGUUGGCUGGCCGGUGCUGACGGGACGGAGCUGAGGCUAGCGAUAAAUUCCUAUGUUAGACUUCCGCUGUAGCAAUUACUCAUAUCAGUCUUUUGUUUUCCCAACUUAAGAUCUUCAUGUUAGAUUUCAAAUGAUAUACCUGACCGAGCUUAGACUCUUCACUACUUAAUUUAUGCAAAUGAAUGUCGGUUGUCAGAAGCAUGAAACAAAACUUGUGAUCCAAAGGGGCAUAGCCCGACUUUCUAUCCUAUUUCGGGUUUUUACAAGGUUGUUCCUUGUUUAUUUCUAUGAAUUAGUUGCACCUCGAUUAUAUUUAUUCAUUCAAGAAUUGGGGUGUGACAGAAGUUCUUUCAUGGACGGAGGGAG